Molecule: ribosomal RNA, 389 nt
Filed under: uncultured Glomeromycotina
Lineage: Eukaryota; Fungi; Glomeromycota
Description: SSU rRNA
Rfam family: Eukaryotic small subunit ribosomal RNA
Source: RNAcentral
UCGGUAUGUACUGGCUUUACUGAUUCCUCCUUCUUGACGAACCGUGAUGUCAUUAAUUUGGUGUUGCGGGAAAUCAGGACUGUUACUUUGAAAAAAUUAGAGUGUUUAAAGCAGGCUAACGCUUGAAUACAUUAGCAUGGAAUAAUGAAAUAGGACGUUAAUCCUAUUUUGUUGGUUUCUAGGAUCGACGUAAUGAUUAAUAGGGAUAGUUGGGGGCAUUAGUAUUCAAUUGUCAGAGGUGAAAUUCUUGGAUUUAUUGAAGACUAACUACUGCGAAAGCAUUUGCCAAGGAUGUUUUCAUUAAUCAAGAACGAAAGUUAGGGGAUCGAAGACAAUCAGAUACCGUCGUAGUCUUAACCAUAAACUAUGCGAACAAGGGAUCGAGAUGA